This 516-nucleotide ribosomal RNA is filed under the name Meyerozyma guilliermondii. RNAcentral describes it as "LSU rRNA". It matches the Rfam family "Eukaryotic large subunit ribosomal RNA", at positions 79 to 600 of the family's 3401-position model. Lineage: Eukaryota; Fungi; Ascomycota; Pichiomycetes; Serinales; Debaryomycetaceae. The record is from RNAcentral.
CUUAGUAGCGGCGAGUGAAGCGGCAAAAGCUCAAAUUUGAAAUCUGGCGCCUUCGGUGUCCGAGUUGUAAUUUGAAGAUUGUAACCUUGGGGUUGGCUCUUGUCUAUGUUUCUUGGAACAGGACGUCACAGAGGGUGAGAAUCCCGUGCGAUGAGAUGCCCAAUUCUAUGUAAGGUGCUUUCGAAGAGUCGAGUUGUUUGGGAAUGCAGCUCUAAGUGGGUGGUAAAUUCCAUCUAAAGCUAAAUAUUGGCGAGAGACCGAUAGCGAACAAGUACAGUGAUGGAAAGAUGAAAAGAACUUUGAAAAGAGAGUGAAAAAGUACGUGAAAUUGUUGAAAGGGAAGGGUUUGAGAUCAGACUCGAUAUUUUGUGAGCCUUGCCUUCGUGGCGGGGUGACCCGCAGCUUAUCGGGCCAGCAUCGGUUUGGGCGGUAGGAUAAUGGCGUAGGAAUGUGACUUUACUUCGGUGAAGUGUUAUAGCCUGCGUUGAUGCUGCCUGCCUAGACCGAGGACUGCGA